GUGCACCAGUCGCGAAUUUUUCACAAUGGGGGAAACCCUGAUGGAGCGACGCCGCGUGGAGGAUGAAGGUAUUCGUAUCGUAAACUCCUGUCAAACGGGGACAAGAAAGUGAUAGUACCGUUAGAGGAAGAGACGGCUAACUCUGUGCCAGCAGCCGCGGUAAUACAGAGGUCUCAAGCGUUGUUCGGAUUCAUUGGGCGUAAAGGGUGCGCAGGCUGUGGGGUAAGUCGGAUGUGAAAUUUAGGGGCUCAACCCCUAAACUGCAUUCGAUACUGCUCCGCUAGAGGACUGUAGAGGAGAUUGGAAUUCACGGUGUAGCAGUGAAAUGCGUAGAUAUCGUGAGGAAGACCAGUGGCGAAGGCGAAUCUCUGGGCAGUUCCUGACGCUCAUGCACGAAGGCCAGGGGAGCAAACGGGAUUAGAUACCCCUGUAGU
RNAcentral lists this ribosomal RNA (434 nucleotides) under uncultured organism. RNAcentral describes it as "bacterial SSU rRNA". It matches the Rfam family "Bacterial small subunit ribosomal RNA", at positions 346 to 794 of the family's 1533-position model. The record is from RNAcentral.